Molecule: ribosomal RNA, 206 nt
Filed under: uncultured bacterium
Lineage: Bacteria
Description: partial 16S ribosomal RNA
Rfam family: Bacterial small subunit ribosomal RNA
Source: RNAcentral
CACGCAGGCUGAAUUAUAAGUCGGUAGUAAAAGGCGGGGCUCAACUUCCGUAUAUCUAUCGAUACUGUAAAUCUAGAGUAUGUGAGAGGGAAGCGGAAUUCCCGGUGUAGCGGUGAGAUGCGUAGAUAUCGGGAGGAACACCAGUGGCGAAGGCGGCUUCCUGGCACAAUACUGACGCUCAUGUGCGAAAGCUAGGGCAGCGAACG